GGGAAAAGCUCAAAUUUUGAAUCUGGCGGUUCACUGGGACCGUCCGAAUUGUAAUCUAGAGAAGCGUCUUCCAGCCCCGUGCCGUGUACAAGUCUCCUGGAAGGGAGCAUCAUAGAGGGUGAGAAUCCCGUCUUUGACACGGAUCCCGUCGGUGCUUCGUGAUGCGCUCUCGACGAGUCGAGUUGUUUGGGAAUGCAGCUCAAAUAGGGUGGUAAACUCCAUCUAAAGCUAAAUACAGGCGAGAGACCGAUAGCGAACAAGUACCGUGAGGGAAAGACGAAAAGAACUUUGAAAAGAGAGUUAAACAGUACGUGAAAUCGUUGAAAGGGAAACGCUUGACGUCAGUCUCGUCGGUCGGGGAUCAACCUAGGUCUUUUUCUGGGUGCACUUCCCGCUCGACGGGUCAGCAUCAGUUUCGAUCCCGUCGUACAACGGCGAGAGCGAAUGUGCCACGCUCCGCGGUGUGUUAUAGCCUCUCGUCCUAUGCGACGGUCGGGACUGAGGAACUCGGCACGCCCUCACGGCGCGUCCCAGGAUGCUGGCAUAAUGGCCUUAAGCGACCCGUCUUGAAACACGGACCAAGGAGUCCAACAUGCCUGCGAGUGUUUGGGUGGAAAACUCUGAGCGCGAAAUGAAAGUGAAAGUCGGGACCUUCGUCACUGGAGGGCACCGACGCCCGGAUCGACCGUCUUCUGACGAUCACUCUGCGGUAGAGCAUGCAUGUUGGGACCCGAAAGAUGGUGAACUAUGCCUGAAUAGGGUGAAGCCAGAGGAAACUCUGGUGGAGGCUCGUAGCGAUUCUGACGUGCAAAUCGAUCGUCAAAUUUGGGUAUAGGGGCGAAAGACUA
This 848-nucleotide ribosomal RNA is filed under the name Tylopilus plumbeoviolaceoides. RNAcentral describes it as "eukaryotic LSU rRNA". It matches the Rfam family "Eukaryotic large subunit ribosomal RNA", at positions 100 to 933 of the family's 3401-position model. Lineage: Eukaryota; Fungi; Basidiomycota; Agaricomycetes; Boletales; Boletaceae. The record is from RNAcentral.